Molecule: ribosomal RNA, 497 nt
Filed under: uncultured bacterium
Lineage: Bacteria
Description: partial 16S ribosomal RNA
Rfam family: Bacterial small subunit ribosomal RNA
Source: RNAcentral
GAUGAACGCUGGCGGCGUGCCUAAUACAUGCAAGUCGAGCGAACAGACGAGGAGCUUGCUCCUCUGACGUUAGCGGCGGACGGGUGAGUAACACGUGGAUAACCUACCUAUAAGACUGGGAUAACUUCGGGAAACCGGAGCUAAUACCGGAUAAUAUAUUGAACCGCAUGGUUCAAUAGUGAAAGACGGUUUUGCUGUCACUUAUAGAUGGAUCCGCGCCGCAUUAGCUAGUUGGUAAGGUAACGGCUUACCAAGGCAACGAUGCGUAGCCGACCUGAGAGGGUGAUCGGCCACACUGGAACUGAGACACGGUCCAGACUCCUACGGGAGGCAGCAGUAGGGAAUCUUACGCAAUGGGCGAAAGCCUGACGGAGCAACGCCGCGUGAGUGAUGAAGGUCUUCGGAUCGUAAAACUCUGUUAUUAGGGAAGAACAUAUGUGUAAGUAACUGUGCACAUCUUGACGGUACCUAAUCAGAAAGCCACGGCUAACUACGUG